This 126-nucleotide small RNA is filed under the name Enterobacter ludwigii. RNAcentral's name for it is "RtT sRNA". It matches the Rfam family "RtT RNA". From Rfam's summary of the family: This family represents a bacterial cis-regulatory element known as RtT RNA. The exact function of RtT is unknown although it is thought that it may be involved in changing the cellular response in relation to amino acid starvation. The record is from RNAcentral. Lineage: Bacteria; Pseudomonadati; Pseudomonadota; Gammaproteobacteria; Enterobacterales; Enterobacteriaceae.
UUGCUAUCUACGGUAUGGAUGAUUCGAACCUGCAGCAGGUCCGAGCCGAACGCAGUGAGGCAACGGAGUCGUUUACGGCGACGGCCCGAAGGGCGAGCGAAGCGAGUCAUCCUGCACGACCCACCA